UCUCUCUCCGCCGUCUCCGAUCUUCAC
RNAcentral lists this small RNA (27 nucleotides) under Arabidopsis thaliana (thale cress). Its description in RNAcentral is "ATSL138590". The record is from RNAcentral. Lineage: Eukaryota; Viridiplantae; Streptophyta; Magnoliopsida; Brassicales; Brassicaceae.